AUCCAACUGAUGAGUCCCAAAUAGGACAAGACGCGCGUCGUGGAU
RNAcentral lists this non-coding RNA (45 nucleotides) under Schistosoma margrebowiei. The record is from RNAcentral. Lineage: Eukaryota; Metazoa; Platyhelminthes; Trematoda; Strigeidida; Schistosomatidae.